This 1360-nucleotide long non-coding RNA is filed under the name Parus major (Great Tit). RNAcentral describes it as "lncRNA (ENSPMJG00000002690.1)". The record is from RNAcentral. Lineage: Eukaryota; Metazoa; Chordata; Aves; Passeriformes; Paridae.
AGCUACACACAGCUCAGGGAACUCAAGGAAGAGGUGAGAUCCUAUCAAGCAAAUAAAUAGGCCAGGGACUGAAACGCAGCCUCACUGUAGUUGCUAUCAGGUUUUGUAUUAUUUGUAUAGUUUCUCUUAUCCCACAGACAAAACAGGUUCAAAGGAGAAAAUUCAUUAUCUGGGGUAGAACAUACAGAUACAUCCUUCCCAGCCCUGCAAGAAGAAAAUGAUGAUUUGAAAAGAGAAUGAGCAGACUGGGGAGAGUGGUCAGGAACACAAGACCCUUCCAGCAGAAGUACGUAAGUAUUAGAUUAAACCGAGGAUGAACAACCUGGAGUGGAUAAAAACUCCCCAAACCAUGUGCAAAGGCAAUGAUGUUUCCAGCAUUUUGAAUAUGCAUGAACAGGAGAGGACAGUUUUGUCUCUGACAAGGGUGAGACACAAGGUGAUGAGAAGUUAAACAUGAAUUUCAGCUACAGACAGGUUUAGGAAGGGCCUCAGCUGGGCAAAGCCACGCAGAAAGGAUCCACAGCUUUCAAGCCUAUUGCUUAGGUGAGGAUAUAAUAAAGAUCUUUUGAAGGAAGGAUCACCUUAUUUAUUCCACUCUGAAACAACAUGUGUUGCACAUUUUUAUUAUGUAUAAUGUUGAUCCUGUUUAGAAUACAUACUAAGGGUGUAACUGGCACAGCAUCUCUUUGUCCCAUGCCUGCCCUUUCCCUGGGUGUGUCCUUUAUAGACAGUGCCUCAGGAGACUCAAGAUGGAGAUGGGUGAUAUUACGGUGAAAUUAACCAUAAAGAAAACAUUUAAAUAAAAAUUAUUAACCCAGUGUUAGAGCUAUUAUGAGACAGAAAAGAAAUGUCAGAGAAAAAAAAUGUGUACCAUGACUGCCCCAUUACACUAUAAUUAGUUUAUCUUUGUAUAAUUUAUACUUAGCUCUAUGUCAAUGAAUUCCAGACAGAAGAAGUCCCUGGCCUGCAGCAAGGCUGAAGAGAGAGAAGCCCUGGAUAGCAAAGAAUUUUUAAAGUUUUCUUUCGAAGGAAAGACUCCCAGUGAAAAAUACAGUCCCAAGCACCACUCCAGAAAGGACGAGUGCAGGUGUGCCAUGUCUCACUCUGAUGAGAGAACAGGACAAAAAUAAUAUUCUCCCUUUUACAAGAGGAUUGUUUUUUUCUACUUUUUUGCCAUUGCAAACCUGAAAGACUGACUUACUUUCUUUGAGAAUUUUUCAUUUGAGAAUUUUAAUUAUUGUUUAGAACAUACUGUAUUUUGCCAAGUAAGAUUAUAAUAAGAAAUUUAGAUCCUAUUUCCAGGAGUAUCUUGGAAACUAAAACAAUUAUUUCUCUAAAUAAACUUCAGUUCUCAAUUGCA